UACGUAGGCAGCGAGCGGUGUUCGGAGUUACUGGGCGUAAAGGGUGUGUAGGCGGUUGUUUAAGGUUGGUGUGAAAUCUCCCGGCUCAACUGGGAGGGUGCGCCGAAUACUGAAUGACUUGGAGUGCGGGAGAGGAGAGUGGAAUUCCUGGUGUAGCGGUGAAAUGCGUAGAUAUCAGGAGGAACACCGGUGGUGUAGACGGCUCUCUGGACCGUAACUGACGCUGAGACACGAAAGCGUGGGUAGCAAACAGG
This 254-nucleotide ribosomal RNA is filed under the name uncultured bacterium. Its description in RNAcentral is "partial 16S ribosomal RNA". It matches the Rfam family "Bacterial small subunit ribosomal RNA", at positions 524 to 776 of the family's 1533-position model. The record is from RNAcentral.